GAUGAACGCUGGCGGCGUGCCUAAUACAUGCAAGUCGAGCGAAGAGAUGAGGAGCUUGCUCCUCUGACGUUAGCGGCGGGCGGGUGAGUAACACGUGGAUAACCUCCCUAUAAGACUGGGAGAACUUCGGGGAACCGGAGCUCUUACGGCAUAAUCGAUUUAACCUCAUGGUUCAAGAGAGAAAGACGGUUGUGCUGUCUCUUAUAGAUUGAUCGGCGCCGCAUUAGCUAUUUGGUAAGGUAACGGCUUACCAAGGCAACGAUGGGUAGCCGACCUGAGAGGUGAACCGGCAACACGGGAACUGAGCACCGCCCAGGCUUCCUCCGGGAGGAGGCAGUGGGGAACCUUCGGCAUUGGGCGAAAGCCUGCCGGAGCACGGCCGCUUGAGUGAUGAAGGUCUUCGGAUCUUAAGACCUUGUUAUUAGGGAAGAACAAAUUUGUACGUAACUAUGCACGUCUUGACGGUACCUAAUCAGAAAGCCACGGCUAACUACGUG
This 497-nucleotide ribosomal RNA is filed under the name uncultured bacterium. Its description in RNAcentral is "partial 16S ribosomal RNA". It matches the Rfam family "Bacterial small subunit ribosomal RNA", at positions 28 to 507 of the family's 1533-position model. The record is from RNAcentral.